GUCCAGACUCCUACGGGAGGCAGCAGUGGGGAAUAUUGCACAAUGGGGGAAACCCUGAUGCAGCGACGCCGCGUGAGCGAUGAAGUAUUUCGGUAUGUAAAGCUCUAUCAGCAGGGAAGAAGAUGACGGUACCUGACUAAGAAGCCCCGGCUAACUACGUGCCAGCAGCCGCGGUAAUACGUAGGGGGCAAGCGUUAUCCGGAUUUACUGGGUGUAAAGGGAGCGUAGACGGCGGCGCAAGCCAGAUGUGAAAGCCCGGGGCUCAACUCCGGGACUGCAUUUGGAACUGUGUGGCUGGAGUGUCGGAGAGGCAGGCGGAAUUCCUAGUGUAGCGGUGAAAUGCGUAGAUAUUAGGAGGAACACCAGUGGCGAAGGCGGCCUGCUGGACGAUGACUGACGUUGAGGCUCGAAAGCGUGGGGAGCAAACAGGAUUAGAUACCCUAGUAC
RNAcentral lists this ribosomal RNA (447 nucleotides) under uncultured bacterium. RNAcentral's name for it is "bacterial SSU rRNA". It matches the Rfam family "Bacterial small subunit ribosomal RNA", at positions 329 to 793 of the family's 1533-position model. The record is from RNAcentral.